UACGUAGGGGGCUAGCGUUGUCCGGAUUUAUUGGGCGUAAAGAGCGUGUAGGCGGCCAAGUAGGUCCGGUGUGAAAACUCGAGGCUUAACCUCGAGAUGUCAUCGGAAACCAUUUGGCUAGAGUCCGGAAGAGGAAAGUGGAAUUCCUGGUGUAGCGGUGAAAUGCGCAGAUAUCAGGAAGAAUACCGGUGGCGAAAGCGACUCUCUGGACGGCAACUGACGCUGAGGCACGAAAGCGUGGGGAGCAAACAGG
RNAcentral lists this ribosomal RNA (253 nucleotides) under uncultured bacterium. RNAcentral describes it as "partial 16S ribosomal RNA". It matches the Rfam family "Bacterial small subunit ribosomal RNA", at positions 524 to 776 of the family's 1533-position model. The record is from RNAcentral.